ACAAACUAAUCAAUUCCUCUCAAAAAUCCAACCCUAAUCCUUUCCCUAAAGAUUAAGAACUCAUCCUAAGUUCAAGAAUUCCAGGAAAAGAAACAAGAUCCGGGUUCCAUCUUUCAAACUAAAUUAUCUAAGGAUUCUGAUACACAGUUCUAGGGUCCCGUUAAGCAGUAGAUUGACUUGUCACAAGUUCGCAGCUGGUGAGCCUCCCUUAUUUUGCAGGGCCUAAUGUAUAUGUCAUUGUUAUUUUAUUUUGAUUUAGGGUUUAACUGGGGGCCUUGUCCCAUUCUUUAGACAGAGAUUAUUUUCAGUUAGUAGAGAUUGCGCAGACAAGUGUUAGAUGUUGAUCUUUAUGAAUUUAUUUCAGUAUUGAGUAGUUUGAAAUAAAAGUUCACCAUGAUUCUGUUGUAA
This is a long non-coding RNA of Capsicum annuum, 408 nucleotides long. RefSeq lists it as uncharacterized. The record is from RefSeq and is a predicted model, not a curated record. Lineage: Eukaryota; Viridiplantae; Streptophyta; Magnoliopsida; Solanales; Solanaceae. The transcript is spliced from 2 exons.